CCGAGUUUACACAACUCCCAACCCUAUGUGAACCAUACCAAUCGUUGCUUCGGCGGUCGCGCCCCGGUGCCCCAGUGCCCGGAACCAGGCGCCCGCCGGGGACCCUAAACCCUAAAUUUUUACGUGGAAUUCUGAGUGGCGCAAGCAAAAAAUAAAUCA
This 159-nucleotide unclassified non-coding RNA is filed under the name uncultured Hypocreales. Its description in RNAcentral is "sequence contains ITS1". Lineage: Eukaryota; Fungi; Ascomycota; Sordariomycetes; Hypocreales. The record is from RNAcentral.